RNAcentral lists this ribosomal RNA (422 nucleotides) under uncultured Bacteroidota bacterium. RNAcentral's name for it is "bacterial SSU rRNA". It matches the Rfam family "Bacterial small subunit ribosomal RNA", at positions 355 to 774 of the family's 1533-position model. Lineage: Bacteria; Pseudomonadati; Bacteroidota. The record is from RNAcentral.
UGAGGAAUAUUGGUCAAUGGGUGAGAGCCUGAACCAGCCAAGUCGCGUGCAGGAUGACAGCCCUAUGGGUUGUAAACUGCUUUUAUAUAGGAAUAAUAGUUUUUUCGUGAAAGAGUUUGAAUGUACUAUAUGAAUAAGGACCGGCUAACUCCGUGCCAGCAGCCGCGGUAAUACGGAGGGUCCGAGCGUUAUCCGGAUUUAUUGGGUUUAAAGGGUGCGUAGGCGGGUAGAUAAGUCAGUGGUGAAAGUUUGUCGCUUAACGAUAAAAUUGCCAUUGAAACUGUUUAUCUUGAAUACAGUAGAGGUAUGCGGAAUAUAUUGUGUAGCGGUGAAAUGCAUAGAUACGAUAUAGAACACCAAUUGCGAAGGCAGCUUACUAUGCUGUUAUUGACGCUGAUGCACGAAAGCGUGGGUAGCGAACA